Molecule: long non-coding RNA, 726 nt
Organism: Bombus pyrosoma
Lineage: Eukaryota; Metazoa; Arthropoda; Insecta; Hymenoptera; Apidae
Exons: 2
Source: RefSeq, a predicted model, not a curated record
UGGAAAAUAAAACUACUGAGGAGAUCGCAGGUGUAACAUGAGAGUUUAAAAGAGAUAUCUUCGAAGAACUGUAUGAUUGUUUAGAAAGUUUGAUUUAAAUCGGGGGUGUAAAUUUAUGUAAUAAACAGAUCCAGUUUCUUGUCUAAACGAUGAAUCUUCCACAUGCUCGAGAAAAAAGAUAUCGACGGAGAACUAUAAAAUUUACAGCGGUGUUUAUGAACCGUGGCUUUUUACAUCAAUGUUGGUGUUUUUAAAACAUCGUUUUUUUUAACACCAGUUGAAUCAUGAAAAACAUCUCGAUAGAACAUCUACGAAUGUUCUUGGAUUGACCCAGUAACUUUGGCCAAUAUGAAUUCUUCAAGAUAAAUUUAGGAAUGAGGAAAAUAGUGACUAUAAGAGUUGCAUUCCAUUCGACUAUGUCUUGGCAUAGAGCGAACAUCGAUUGAACCUACGCAAAGAAUGCACAAAGCGAGCGUACACGUGCACAACACGGUAUGUAAACACGAUGAUCCGUAUGUUAAAUGAGUAGGUAGAUAAAGAUAAGUAUGUACAUUUGUACGUACAAAGGAAAGGCAUGCAUAACAGAUUCCAAGAGAAAAGAACGCGUAAAAGAACGUUUCUGCGGCUGCCACAUUCUUGCGUCCUUCGUCGACAGGAAUAACAAUUUGUAAUCAUCGAAGAUCCCACGCUUUACUUAUCUUCGAAAAUAUAUCGAUUUCCCAAAAA